This 465-nucleotide ribosomal RNA is filed under the name uncultured Klebsiella sp. RNAcentral describes it as "bacterial SSU rRNA". It matches the Rfam family "Bacterial small subunit ribosomal RNA", at positions 338 to 795 of the family's 1533-position model. Lineage: Bacteria; Pseudomonadati; Pseudomonadota; Gammaproteobacteria; Enterobacterales; Enterobacteriaceae. The record is from RNAcentral.
CCUACGGGCGGCAGCAGUGGGGAAUAUUGCACAAUGGGCGCAAGCCUGAUGCAGCCAUGCCGCGUGUGUGAAGAAGGCCUUCGGGUUGUAAAGCACUUUCAGCGGGGAGGAAGGCGGUGAGGUUAAUAACCUCAUCGAUUGACGUUGCCCGCAGAAGAAGCACCGGCUAACUCCGUGCCAGCAGCCGCGGUAAUACGGAGGGUGCAAGCGUUAAUCGGAAUUACUGGGCGUAAAGCGCACGCAGGCGGUCUGUCAAGUCGGAUGUGAAAUCCCCGGGCUCAACCUGGGAACUGCAUUCGAAACUGGCAGGCUAGAGUCUUGUAGAGGGGGGUAGAAUUCCAGGUGUAGCGGUGAAAUGCGUAGAGAUCUGGAGGAAUACCGGUAGCGAAGGCGGCCCCCUGGACAAAGACUGACGCUCAGGUGCGAAAGCGUGGGGAGCAAACAGGAUUAGAUACCCUUGUAGUC